UGCGUAGGUGGGUCGGUAAGUCAGUGGUGAAAUCUCCGAGCUUAACUUGGAAACUGCCAUUGAUACUAUCGAUCUUGAAUACUGUGGAGGUCAGCGGAAUAUGUCAUGUAGCGGUGAAAUGCUUAGAUAUGACAUAGAACACCAAUUGCGAAGGCAGCUGGCUACACAAAUAUUGACACUGAGGCACGAAAGCGUGGGGAUCAAACAGGAUUAGAUACCCUGGUAGUCCACGCCCUAAACGAUGGAUACUCGACAUUUGCGAUACACUGCAAGUGUCUGAGCGAAAGCAUUAAGUAUCCCACCUGGGAAGUACGAUCACAAGAUUGAA
Molecule: ribosomal RNA, 328 nt
Filed under: uncultured Niabella sp.
Lineage: Bacteria; Pseudomonadati; Bacteroidota; Chitinophagia; Chitinophagales; Chitinophagaceae
Description: bacterial SSU rRNA
Rfam family: Bacterial small subunit ribosomal RNA
Source: RNAcentral